Non-coding RNA from Dallia pectoralis (Alaska blackfish), 70 nucleotides. The record is from the annotation of a GenBank genome assembly. Lineage: Eukaryota; Metazoa; Chordata; Actinopteri; Esociformes; Umbridae.
GGAGUUUUUAGCUCAGUGUUAGAGUGCAAGUUUAGUAUGUAUAACGUCCUGGGUUCAAAUCCCAGCUUCU